GGGCAGGUGGUCGCAGCGUCCGCGCCCCCCAUGUCGAAGGUGCGGACACGGCCGCUCCAUCGACAUUCCAUUGGAAGCAUGAGGGGGCCGCCGCCGCCGUCCACAGAGGCAGGCGAAGACGCGGACGCGGGCGCCGCGUCGAUCGAUGCGGCGGCGGCGGCGGCAUCCCCGGCGUGGUCGUCGGCGAGGUCCCCCGCGGCGUCGACGGAGAGUUCGGGGAAAGGAGGGAGGUAGACUGUGCUCAGAUCCGGCAUGGCCGCCAGCGGGGAGGGGCUGUGGGCUAGGGUUUGGAGGGCAUUGG
RNAcentral lists this long non-coding RNA (301 nucleotides) under Setaria italica (foxtail millet). RNAcentral's name for it is "long non-coding RNA (SITA_LNC000553)". Lineage: Eukaryota; Viridiplantae; Streptophyta; Magnoliopsida; Poales; Poaceae. The record is from RNAcentral.